This 301-nucleotide ribosomal RNA is filed under the name uncultured bacterium. RNAcentral describes it as "partial 16S ribosomal RNA". It matches the Rfam family "Bacterial small subunit ribosomal RNA", at positions 509 to 807 of the family's 1533-position model. The record is from RNAcentral.
CAGCAGCCGCGGUAAUACGAAGGGUGCAAGCGUUAAUCGGAAUUACUGGGCGUAAAGCGUGCGUAGGCGGUUUGUUAAGUCUGCUGUGAAAUCCCCGGGCUCAACCUGGGAAUGGCAGUGGAUACUGGCAAGCUAGAGUGUGUCAGAGGAUGGUGGAAUUCCCGGUGUAGCGGUGAAAUGCGUAGAGAUCGGGAGGAACACCAGUGGCGAAGGCGGCCAUCUGGGACAACACUGACGCUGAGGCACGAAAGCGUGGGGAGCAAACAGGAUUAGAUACCCCCGUAGUCCCUGUCUCUUAUAC